AAUGUAUAAAGUUAUAAUCAUCCAUUCAUUUGAUUGAAAGUUAAAGCACAAAUAAUAUUGUUCAAAAGUUUAUACAUAUUUUAAAAUUAAAACAAAUAAAAAAUUCAUAAAUCCCUAAUCAAGUUUAAAAUUACAACAUAUAAUUGUUCAAAAGUUCAUCAUCAAUUUCAUAUAAUCCAAAGACACGCUUGAAGAUCCUUAUCACCGCAUCCAUUGUAGGGGAAAAGCUGUCUCUGUCUCUUCCUUCCCGGAUACAAGUACCUAUGAGAAAUAUAAAAAAAAUUUAACCAAAUUAAAUAUAGAACAGAAACUAAUACACAAAUAUAUAAAGGUCAUCAUCAAAGGAAAAGAUACGAAAGAGUAGAUUUGCAUGCAUACAUUUCUCAUUUGAACAACAACAUAUAGAGCAACUAAACUAUAGAGUUCGUUUCCAUUCACUCUUAAUAGGAAACUAAAUAACAUUCUAGGCACAUACGCAUGAAGAUUCAAUAUAGGGGUCACACUGAUAAUCCACAUGGACAAAUAUAAAAAGAAACACUUUGACAUGGACUGAAAGACACAAACAACUUAGUAAUGAAGUUACGAUAAAAUUGAAGUUGCACAACGAAAGCAAAUAUAAAACCCAAAAUAUAACACCAACCAAAACACGCAUUCAAUGUGACGAAGGCAUAAAUAAAGCAGAAUGUGAAGAACACAAUGAAAAGAAAUAGACCUGACAAAAAACUGAAAUUUGUGCUUAGCUUUUCUCUAUCCUUUCACGGUCCAGACAAUCAAUAACAUAUAUAUCUGCAUAUAUUUAUUAAUUUGGCAACAAUAGACUUGUAUCAUAAUUUUUCAGCUCAAUUGGAUAAAUGAAUGGUUGUAGUAGAAGGAAAAAUUCACAAGUUCCAAAAUUCACAAAGUUGUAUUUUCAUUAAGAUAAAAUGUAUAAAACCAUGAAAACUAAUUCCUACCAAACCAUCACAGUUGUUGAAAUAGUGCCUCAAAAGUGCUCUUAAUUUCUUUGACCCUGCAACAUCCCAAACUGUGAAAACAACAUUCUUAUGCUGAAUCUUCUCCACAUUAAAACAUGCAAAAAGGUAAAAUUUAUAAGCCUUGAACAAAAUACCAAUAGUUCAGUUCUUUCUAAUUUUUCUUCUACUAAACUAAAAUGUUAACAAGAUUUCUCUAGUCAAUUCACACAAGUGCUAAUAGAUAUUUGUCCAUUUCAAUUACGAACAAAUUUAAAUAGACAUAGAAACAAAAAUAUGUAGAUAAUUGACAAGUAACUAUUUGCAUCCUUUGGGUAUCAAGAUCGAAUGGCUUAAUUAGCUUAUACCAAGAAAUCUGCCUAAAAUAAUUAAAUUAUGAAAUUAUAAUGAAACCCAACAAUUGUAGGUACAGUAGAUAAAAUUCUCCAAUAUGGAGCUUGUACAUUAUGGUAGUUUUGCUAGCAUCACCACCUAAACCAAGAAAAUGUUUUAAAAAGUGUAAAUACGAAACUCAUCUAAAAUUGAUGAAGAAUUUCAUCAUCUCUUUUGCUGAUUAAUCAUGACGAUAACAGGAUGUUAAAGCAAACUAUUCAAAAUCAAACAAUUGAAACAAGACCAAACAUACAAAGAAUGACAUGUAUUAACCUAAACAAAUAUUAUAUAAUAAAACAGAAAAAGAAAACAUUGAAACCACAACAUAAUGAAGAACAAUACCUUAUCCACAUUCGAUAAUAAUAGGAAGAGUAAACAAUCUCAUGAGAAUGCAAAACUGAAAAAUGCAGAAUAAAAUUAAAAAUUAAGAGUAAUCAAGGAAUUGAAAUUUUCCAUGAUUUGUUAUACCCUUAUUACAACGAAAACCCUAUUUAUCUCUUUAAACAAGGUAGCAAAAACGAUUGUAGGAUGGAACUGAUGUAGAUUCAUUCUACUUCUCUAAUACCCACAAUACAUGUCUCCAACUAAAUGUAGCGGGCACAUUGUGUACGACGUCGUGUAUGAACAAAGAAACAAAUCUAAAAUCGAAGUUUACCUCUCCACAUCAUCUAUGAAGGAAGGAAUGAGUGACGACCUGCGAAAGCUGACGGUGAGGAUUCGUGGUCAUUUAUGAAGGUGACGAUUACGCAAUUUCGAUGACAGGGAUAGGGUUCAAACAAAAAAAUUUGCAAUGAGUUUCAGAGAAAGAAACCAUUUGCAAUGAGGUUCAAAGAGAUGAUUCAAAUGUUUUGGGAAUGAUAGAGUCUGAUACUUAGGGUUUGGGAAUCAAAGGGUUUGAAAUUUACAAAGGUUUCAGAGUUACAAAGGUUUUUAGAAUGAAAGUUUGACGAAAUUUUGUUGGAUUCCAAAUAAUUUUUUUUGGAGGGAAAUAACUUUUGGGGAGAAGAG
Molecule: long non-coding RNA, 2351 nt
Filed under: Phaseolus vulgaris (common bean)
Lineage: Eukaryota; Viridiplantae; Streptophyta; Magnoliopsida; Fabales; Fabaceae
Description: long non-coding RNA (PVUL_LNC002146)
Source: RNAcentral